AUUGAACGCUGGCGGAAUGCUUUACACAUGCAAGUCGAACGGCAGCACGGGUGCUUGCACCUGGUGGCGAGUGGCGAACGGGUGAGUAAUACAUCGGAACGUACCCAGUUGUGGGGGACAACUAACCGAAAGGUUAGCUAAUACCGCAUACGACCUGAGGGUGAAAGCGGGGGACCGUAAGGCCUCGCGCAAUUGGAGCGGCCGAUGUCUGAUUAGCUAGUUGGUAGGGUAAAGGCCUACCAAGGCGACGAUCAGUAGCUGGUCUGAGAGGAUGAUCAGCCACACUGGAACUGAGACACGGUCCAGACUCCUACGGGAGGCAGCAGUGGGGAAUUUUGGACAAUGGGCGAAAGCCUGAUCCAGCCGUUCCGCGUGAGUGAAGAAGGCCCUCGGGUUGUAAAGCUCUUUCGGCAGGGAAGAAACGGCCUAGGUUAAUACCUUGGGCUAAUGACGGUACCUGAAGAAGAAGCACCGGCUAACUACGUGCCAGCCGCCGCCGUAA
RNAcentral lists this ribosomal RNA (502 nucleotides) under uncultured bacterium. Its description in RNAcentral is "partial 16S ribosomal RNA". It matches the Rfam family "Bacterial small subunit ribosomal RNA", at positions 30 to 523 of the family's 1533-position model. The record is from RNAcentral.